This 69-nucleotide transfer RNA is filed under the name Conanalus pieli. RNAcentral describes it as "tRNA-Val". Lineage: Eukaryota; Metazoa; Arthropoda; Insecta; Orthoptera; Tettigoniidae. The record is from RNAcentral.
CAAAAUAAAGCUUAUAGUAAGUAUUUCAUUUACAUUGAAGAGAUUUUCGUGCGAUUCGAAUUGUUUUGA